Molecule: small nuclear RNA, 95 nt
Organism: Heterocephalus glaber (naked mole-rat)
Lineage: Eukaryota; Metazoa; Chordata; Mammalia; Rodentia; Bathyergidae
Source: Ensembl
GUGCUCAUUUUGGCAGCACAUAUACUAAAAUUGGAAUGAUACAGAGAAGAUUAUUAUGGCCUCUGUGCAAGGAUGACACCCAAAUUCAUAUUUUU